AUGGGUGUUGAAGUUAGGGUCAUCAUUAACUUUUUUUAACGUAAUCAUAGACAUUUCAUACUUUCACCAAUAUAUAGUAUGCUAUUGAUUUUGUUUCAUUCUAUUUGGGUUUAGUUUUAUAAUUGAUUUUAGAAUUAUAUUUGGGGUUAGAGUUUAGUAAUUAGGAUUUAGGGUUUAGUAAUUAGAGUUUAGUGAUUAGGAUUUAGAGUUUAUUAUUUAAGAGUUGAGGUUGGGUUAAUGUUUAGUGUUUAAGGAUUGUCGGUGUGGUUUGAUUUCUAUACUACUUCGACGAUUUAGAAUAGAACACUCGGUGUAUAUGUAUGUGGUCAAUAAACAUUUGACAUGGAUGCAUUAUAGUUUAUAUUUGGGUUUAGGGUUUGGUGAUUAGGGUUUAGGGUUUAGUAUUUAUGAGUUGGGGUUGGGGUUGGGUUUAGUAUAUAGGAAUUAUAGGUGUAGUUUGCAUCCUAUACUACUUCGCCAAUAUAGAAUAGAACAUUGAGUGUAUAUAUAUGUGGUCAAUAAACUGUCACGUGGAAGUCUACUUCUUCUUUUGUACGAAAAGUUUUUGGUUCCCUCUUGUCCAUAUCUUUUCUCAGUUACGUCAUCAAUAUAUAAUACAUUCACCAGGUAAUUGUUAACGAAAGGGGUAUAACCGGACAAAUCAUAUCACAAAUAUUAGUUUUUUAAUAAUGUCAAAAUCAUUGCUAUUUUCUUAAUUUUCAUAGUGAAUAUGGUUAUUCAGCAAAUAAACCUUUUUUUUUUGUUUCCAUGUUUCUGACAAGGAAUAAAGUAUUUGUAUUUGUUUUGGUUUUUUUGCUAAAGUGGAAUAAAAUAUUUCGUUAGUAUUAAACCCCUAUCUUUAAUUGGUUGAUUCAAUCAAGUAGAACAAGUCUUAACUUCCGUAUUUGUAAGAAACAAAUACUAGUAAUUA
This 931-nucleotide long non-coding RNA is filed under the name Brassica napus (rape). RNAcentral's name for it is "long non-coding RNA (BNAP_LNC023591)". The record is from RNAcentral. Lineage: Eukaryota; Viridiplantae; Streptophyta; Magnoliopsida; Brassicales; Brassicaceae.